ACGUCAUAAGGACACUCAAGAAGCCCUAUAGAAGAGCUCACAUGGUAAAGAAAUGAGGCCUUCUGCCAACAGCCAGUGAGGAACUAAGCCCUGCUGGCAGCUGCCAGAUGAGCAAGCCAUCUUGGAAGAAGACCCCCAGACUGUUAAGCCUUCAGAUAACUGCAGCCCCAGCUGACACAAGAAACCAGAGUCAGAAUCACUCAGCAAGGCAUUCCUGAAUUUCUGACCCACAGAAAUUCUAAUCAGCUUCCUUCAAAUUGGAUUUCGUAGUGAUAUGGAUCUGUUCACAGUCUUAUGGAGGCUGAUGCUGGCAUUUGAAUGCAGUUCCUCGAGGCUUUCCGAUGAGCUAAGAAACUGGAUGAAGCAUGAGUGGAACCAGUUGUCUUGGACUGGCUGAAAUGAGAGGUGAGGAUAAAGGAACAUCAGAAGCUUUGAGAUGGUGCAUGAGAUGUAUUUGAUACAGUCCACCUCUUGAACAGCUCAGCUAUGCUUUUGCCUUCUAAGUUCAAACAAUACACAGUCUCCUUCAGCGUGGUAGCCACCACAAUCUCUGCAAAGACUUCAUGCAAAGGCGUUA
This is a long non-coding RNA of Homo sapiens (human), 577 nucleotides long. RefSeq lists it as uncharacterized. The transcript has 3 exons. Lineage: Eukaryota; Metazoa; Chordata; Mammalia; Primates; Hominidae. The record is from RefSeq and is a predicted model, not a curated record.